ACAACACGAUUAAAGUUAUUUUCUCUAAAUGAUGCAUCAUGUAUAUCAAACUUAUACUUGAUCCUAUAAAACAGUGUAAGUUUUACUUACUGAGCUGUAUACCUUAUAUAUAUCUAGCUAUUUUUCUUUUCUCUUUCUAGACAAAGAGAUCCGCGCUUAGAAUUCAUGCUAGUAAACUUGGCGAUUUUGUAGCAAAAUUUUAAUUCUUUAAUUGAUGAUAAAUUCAUGGCC
Molecule: long non-coding RNA, 231 nt
Filed under: Elaeis guineensis (African oil palm)
Lineage: Eukaryota; Viridiplantae; Streptophyta; Magnoliopsida; Arecales; Arecaceae
Description: long non-coding RNA (EGUI_LNC027184)
Source: RNAcentral